UUUUAAAAUGUUUGCCAUGUUUAUGCUUGUGCUUCAAGUACUUCUACUCUUCAGUGCGUUGCAAGUGAGCUGCAGCCGGGUAUUGCCGAAUGAAGAUACAGCAGGUAAUAAUUUAAUUGUCACAGCUUAUGGUUUUUAAUGCUCCACCACCUUUUAUUCCAGGUGCUCCAUUCCAUCUGCCUCCUUUCGUUCCAAGACCUCCAUUCCAGCUGCCGCCUUUCAAUCCAAGACCCUUGCCACCUUUCAAUCCAAGACCACCAUUCCACUUGCCACCUUUCAAUCCAAGGCCCCUUCCACCUUUCUUCCGUCCGCCACCUUUCUCUCCACCUCAAAAGGAUUAAAAGGAUUAAAUUUAUCAUCGAGUUCUAUGUUGGGAGUUUGCUACAAGCUCUUUUAAUUUGAUCAAAGCUUUUUGCCUUGUUUCUAUGUCGUAGGUAAUUACUUAGAAAAAGUCUCGAGUUCGAUUCUGGUGUAGCCAA
RNAcentral lists this long non-coding RNA (479 nucleotides) under Selaginella moellendorffii. RNAcentral describes it as "long non-coding RNA (SMOE_LNC001751)". Lineage: Eukaryota; Viridiplantae; Streptophyta; Lycopodiopsida; Selaginellales; Selaginellaceae. The record is from RNAcentral.